UACGGAGGGUGCAAGCGUUAUCCGGAUUCACUGGGUUUAAAGGGUGCGUAGGCGGGUAGGUAAGUCAGUGGUGAAAUCUUCGAGCUUAACUCGGAAACUGCCAUUGAUACUAUUUAUCUUGAAUAUUGUGGAGGUCAGCGGAGUAUGUCAUGUAGCGGUGAAAUGCUUAGAUAUGACAUAGAACACCGAUUGCGAAGGCAGCUGACUACGCAUAUAUUGACGCUGAGGCACGAAAGCGUGGGGAUCAAACA
Molecule: ribosomal RNA, 251 nt
Filed under: uncultured Sediminibacterium sp.
Lineage: Bacteria; Pseudomonadati; Bacteroidota; Chitinophagia; Chitinophagales; Chitinophagaceae
Description: partial 16S ribosomal RNA
Rfam family: Bacterial small subunit ribosomal RNA
Source: RNAcentral